AGCCGAGGGGCGGGGCGGGCCCCGGAAGCGGCGGGAACGUAAGGUCGCCGCCGCGUCUGCGCCGUCGCACGCGCGGGCUCCUCUUUGUCUUUGGGCGUUAACUCUUGGUUGUCCUCGCCUGGGCACCCAAGGAGCCGCCUCGCUUGGCGGCGCGGAGUCCGGGCCUCUGGGUCUGGCAGCGGGAAACCGGCAGGGGCCUGGGACCCACACUGGCUCCCGGGAAAGGCUAGACUGCAAGAAAGGAAACUCCAGCGAGAACAAAAAGGGGCCAGGAUGCGUGAUCAGAAGAACCUGACAAAGUCCAGUGCUCACUGCUUACUCCGGGAGAGCCUAGCUGCCAUGGAACAGGGGUAUGCCCAACAAAGGGCAUUCUGCGCUCGGUCUGCUGUUGCUGACAGGUAAAACCACUGCACAGCGCCCAGUCCUACCUUAAAUCCAGUCGGGCACCAAUCCACAAACUGGAUGGUGCGCUUGGUCUUGAUGGUGGCGAUGGCUGCGUUGACAUCUUUUGGGACCACGUCCCCCCUGUACAACAUGCAGCAGGCCAUGUACUUGCCAUGCCGAGGGUCACACUUGACCAUCUGGUUGGCUGGCUCGAAGCAGGCAUUGGUGAUCUCGGCCACGGACAGCUGCUCGUGGUAGGCCUUCUCGGCAGAGAUGACCGGGGCGUACGUGGCCAGGGGAAAGUGGAUGCGGGGGUACGGGACCAGGUUGGUCUGGAAUU
Long non-coding RNA from Ailuropoda melanoleuca (giant panda), 724 nucleotides. RefSeq lists it as uncharacterized. The record is from RefSeq and is a predicted model, not a curated record. The transcript is spliced from 2 exons. Lineage: Eukaryota; Metazoa; Chordata; Mammalia; Carnivora; Ursidae.